Molecule: unclassified non-coding RNA, 288 nt
Filed under: uncultured fungus
Lineage: Eukaryota; Fungi
Description: partial contains 18S rRNA, ITS1, 5.8S rRNA, ITS2 and 28S rRNA
Source: RNAcentral
AAGGAUCAUUAUCACGUAUCCACGUAUAAACCAUCGCGAACUGUCACCUUUGGAGGGAGCAAGACAGUGGGAGGCAAUGCACAUGAGCUUUUUAUUGUGAUUUAUAGCUCGCAUUCGCCGCUCCGUAGCUUCGGCUCGUCUGCUUUCUCUGAAGCGUAUUAUAAAUCGCACUUUGAUUAACAAUUUGAACAACUCUUUAAACUUUGAACUGACUUAUUUCUUACUCUUCGGAGAAGAAAUUCAUUACGAAACAAAGAACAACUCUUAGCAACGGAUAUCUUGGUUCUC